AUAAAAAACAGAGGCGCGAAAACGAUGAGUCAUUAUCUGGAGGCUGACACCCGAAGAACGAUAAUAAAAGGCGAAUUCGCCGAAGGACAGCUGUGUUGGAAGUUGAUCCUGGGUCAUGGUUGAAUAAAUCAUGGACUGUCACGUUAGUGGAGUACUGUCUUAAUG
Molecule: non-coding RNA, 165 nt
Filed under: Dolosigranulum pigrum
Lineage: Bacteria; Bacillati; Bacillota; Bacilli; Lactobacillales; Carnobacteriaceae
Also listed under: 1 other name
Description: Lysine sequence
Rfam family: Lysine riboswitch aptamer
About the family: Riboswitches are metabolite binding domains within certain messenger RNAs that serve as precision sensors for their corresponding targets. Allosteric rearrangement of mRNA structure is mediated by ligand binding, and this results in modulation of gene expression.
Source: RNAcentral